CAGAUCCAACAGCAACUUUCCUGACGUAAUUGGUUAUUUCUUGGGGGUCCAUACGUCACGACAUCUGGAAACAUAUGUUCCGGCUCCUCAUAGCUCUGCCUCA
Haliotis rubra (blacklip abalone) is the source of this 103-nucleotide long non-coding RNA. RefSeq lists it as uncharacterized. The transcript is spliced from 4 exons. NCBI's taxonomy places the organism in Eukaryota, Metazoa, Mollusca, Gastropoda, Lepetellida, Haliotidae. The record is from RefSeq and is a predicted model, not a curated record.